CAGUAGCCGCGGUAAUACGUAGGGUGCAAGCGUUGUCCGGAAUUAUUGGGCGUAAAGAGCUCGUAGGCGGUUUGUCGCGUCUGCUGUGAAAACUGGAGGCUCAACCUCCAGCCUGCAGUGGGUACGGGCAGACUAGAGUGCGGUAGGGGAGAUUGGAAUUCCUGGUGUAGCGGUGGAAUGCGCAGAUAUCAGGAGGAACACCGAUGGCGAAGGCAGAUCUCUGGGCCGUAACUGACGCUGAGGAGCGAAAGCAUGGGGAGCGAACAGGAUUAGAUACCCGAGUAGUCCCUGUCUCUUAUAA
Molecule: ribosomal RNA, 301 nt
Filed under: uncultured bacterium
Lineage: Bacteria
Description: partial 16S ribosomal RNA
Rfam family: Bacterial small subunit ribosomal RNA
Source: RNAcentral